This is a long non-coding RNA of Drosophila elegans, 1888 nucleotides long. RefSeq lists it as uncharacterized. Lineage: Eukaryota; Metazoa; Arthropoda; Insecta; Diptera; Drosophilidae. The transcript is spliced from 4 exons. The record is from RefSeq and is a predicted model, not a curated record.
UUCGUCCCAGAAGUGAUGAGAUCCCAUGCGCCAUUUUUACGAUUUCCUAUAGCUCUUAUAUGGCGCGAACGAUCAUAAAUUGUAAUCUUAUCGUUAGCUUGGUGUUCGCCGGCGUGCAGAUUGUGGAUGUAGUCAAUAUUUAAACUUAUCAAACACUUAUGUAAAUUGUUAUUUAUAGUAGUGGGACGAACUUCUUCAGUCAUCAAGUUUUUGCCUUUUCAUUAAUCCCCUGAACCAGCUUAGAGCAAAGUUCAAGCCCAACCAGCGAUCAUUUGUUGGAACUUGAUAAAGCCGUGACGUUUUCAAGUUUUUAUACUUUGCUCUGUUCUCCAUUAUUAGCUUGGAAGCAUUCAGCACUUAGUAUAUCAAUCGGCUUUUGUUUAGCUCGAGUGGAGAACGGCCAAAGUCCGCCAGAGGAUUGAAUCAUAGUGUCGGUGCGGGGUUCGUUUGAUGGAGCAAUUAAUACGAUAAUAACUAAAUAAGCACUUAUCAACGAAGUUCCAAACUGAGGAAACGACAAGUGGGACAAAGCUAAGAAGAGUGUGAAACACGAAUUAGAAAGUUCUAACAAAGCUAUUAUUAAAAAUUCAUGGUGAUCCGGGUUGAACUAGGUCGAGGGUACUAAAAUAUAGGGUUUCAUGGAUAUUAAAAGAACCCUAAAAAAACCGAUCUUCCUAUAAAACCAAUAACCUUCCUCUGCCAAUGUGAAUUAACCACCAGGGUCCGAUGAACAGUGAACAAGGAAGCUAAUCGGUGAAGUAACUCUGAUUCACGAGCAAUCACAAAGAGCCUUAGUAAGUAAAGUCGCUGGUUGGUGGGCACAUUGUGAAUAUAUAGGCAUUGUAAACUGGCCCGAUAAUGUUGUUCGGGGCUAGAGCUCGCUAUUGUUUCGCCGUACGUUGCCGUUGGCACAAAACAGAACAAAACCGAAAUUAAGAAAGCGACGGCGGCGCGGGAAUGUUUAUUACGUAUUACGUAUACGACUAUUAUGGUGUGUCGAAGAAAUUCGAUAUGUGGACUUGUGACCCAAGCACGAUCCCCAACCCAUCCUCCUCCCCCCUCCGUUGUCAACCGGGGCAAUGGCAAUCGGGCCUAGAUCGUACUGCCAAAACUCAAUCAGCUGCCACAGGUGCGGCUGUGUGCGCGAACGGUUCUUAUCAGCGAAGGAAAACGACAAUAUAACAACGUCGAAACACUAAUAACCAAUGCGAAAUAUACGCCAGCAGCGAGAGCCGAGCGAUCUUUGAGAAAGUGUUGGGCGUUUAGCGAUUUCCGAGAGCAAAAUAAAGUGGAAAAAACGGAAACAUUGCUUUAAUUUAAUUUAACAAAUUUUAUUUUUAAAACCACAAUCCGCAAAUCUUGUCGGCCCAGAAAUAUAAAAAUACGAAAAUAUUUCAUUAUGGAUAACAGUAUACUAAGCCAAAUAAGUUAAAAUAUGUUCAAAAGUUACUGAAUGCUUCUCUUAAAAAGUUGAAUUGUUUAAGGAGUAGUCAACAUAGGUAUAUUUUAUAAAAAAAUCAUUAUUAGACUUCAAAAACUACAAUAUUUAUGUUCUUUAAGUUUAAAAAAAAAGCUUUAGCCACAAACUGUAAACGACAAAUAUUGUUAAUUUUAGAACCUAGCUUAAAGCUGUUAGAUCAAUUCGAAUAUAUGUUUGUAAAAUACAAACAUAAAUUUUAAACGUUAGUUAAUUUAUACAUAUAAGACUAGAUCCAUACAUUCAAAUUUUAGAAGAAUAGCCAUAGUAUAUAGGAAAUUGUUUAAGCAAACAGUGGUUUCCCGCUAAAGGUUAAAAACCUGGCCAUCUCUGAGCGCCUUCGAUAAAGCCUGCGCUUAACACACACCCACACACGCACACCCACACCCACUUGGGCGCCGAGAUACACAC